This 253-nucleotide ribosomal RNA is filed under the name uncultured bacterium. RNAcentral's name for it is "partial 16S ribosomal RNA". It matches the Rfam family "Bacterial small subunit ribosomal RNA", at positions 524 to 776 of the family's 1533-position model. The record is from RNAcentral.
UACGUAGGCAGCAAGCGUUGUUCGGAAUUACUGGGCGUAAAGAGUGUGUAGGCGGUGCUCUAAGUCUGUUGUGAAAUCUCCCGGCUUAACCGGGAGGGUGCGGCGGAAACUGGGGUGCUUGAGGGUGGGAGAGGUAAGCGGAAUUCCUGGUGUAGCGGUGAAAUGCGUAGAUAUCAGGAGGAACACCUGUGGUGUAGACAGCUUACUGGACCACUUCUGACGCUGAGACACGAAAGCGUGGGUAGCAAACAGG